This 2284-nucleotide non-coding RNA is filed under the name Pan troglodytes (chimpanzee). The record is from RNAcentral. Lineage: Eukaryota; Metazoa; Chordata; Mammalia; Primates; Hominidae.
AGAAAGGGCGGGGUGGAGGAGGGGGAAGGGCGGGGGUGAUGCCGCGCGGUCGCCGGCUUGGGAUGGUGUUCGCGCCUCCGAGACCCGGACAGAGGCAAGCAGGGGCGCCGUGGGUGCCAGAGAGGCGGAAGAGGAGGCCUGAUGGGGUCAGCACAGUGUUUCCGGAGCCCCACGUAUGAACAGCACAGUGCCGGGAGCGCCAGGGGCUCCAAGGAAAGUAUCAGACCCAUUCCCUGUCCCCAGGAAGCUUACCAUCCAGCGGCACAGAGAAGGCUCACCAUGGACUCCAUUCAAGAACGAGGCAGGAUAGGAUGUGAAUAAGUGCAAGGUGUGAGUGACUGACAGUAAGUGCAAGGGGGUUCAGAGAAGUGGCAGCUCCAAGCCUGCUUCUGCUGAAGCUGGAGGGCUUAUCUGUCAAGAACCCCCAACUCAGGAAGCUCUGCUCCAAGUGAGCUGAGUAAGGAGAGUCUGCCUCCAAGUUGUUCCUCUGCAGUUGACUGUGCUCCAUCCUAAAUCAUUCCUUGCACGGGCAGAAGCUGUUUGGCAUUGCACCAGUGUCUGAUUUUGUUUGAAUAUGGUGCCUUUGGCUUAAUCAGUCAGACAUGCAUUCAACAACUAUUUAUUUAUUUAUUUAUUUAUUUAUUUAUUAUUUUGAGACAGAGUCUCGCUCUGUCGCCAGGCGGAGGUUGCAGUGAGCCGAGAUUGAGCCACUGCACUCCAGCCUGGCAACAGAGUGAGACUGUCUCAAAAAGUAAAUAAAUAGAAACUCUUGGUUCCAUGCGUAGUCUAGCAUUUUGUAGCACUUCUAAUCACGAAGUUAUUUUUAAUAUUUGUUUGGUCUGUUAUACAAAAUGUAGACUGGAUGGCUUAUAAACUACAGAAAUCUCUCACAGUUCUGUAGGCUAGAAAGUCUAAGAUGAAGAUGCCAGCAGCCUGCUUCCUGGUUCAUACAAGGUCAUCUUCUCACUGUAACCUCACAGUGAGAGGAAGGGCCUAGGGGUGACUCUGGGAUCUCUUUUAUGAGACACUAAUCCCAUUAAUGGGGGCCCCCCACCCUCAUGGCCUAAUCACCUCCCAAAGGCCCCACGAUUGCCUUGGGUGUUAGGAUUCCCACAUAUGAAUUUUAGGGGAACACAGACGUUCAGGCCAUAGCAAAUAUCUUGCCCAAAUAUCUCUAGUUCCAUCCUUUUGGUCACUCUCAGACCAGAACAUUUACUGAGUGAUUACUAUGUCCCACAAAAUUCUUAUUUAACCCUCAGAAAAACCCUCUGGGGGAAGCAUUGUUAUCACUCCUAUUUCAUGAGCAGUUAUGUAACUUGCCCCAGAUAAGACUUGGUUAUGGCACAAAUUCUGUGUUGGAGCCUUCAGACCACUCUGCUUCCCAAGCAGGGGAGGAACAGAACAUUAAAGAUUUUCUUGGCCUUGGCUUUCAUUUCUUCAUCGUGGUUCUGAAAGGAAAAUUGGCUACAGUCCUAAAUGUAUGUGUGGGCCCACGCUAGCAGCUCAGCUCUCAGUGCCAGCCACACUGAGCCCUGGUCUCCCUAACUUCCAGGCCUUUACUCUGCUUGUCAUUGAGCUGAUGACCAAGAUCCAGCCUAGAGCACAAGAAGACAAACGCUGCGUGAUCUCGUGUGUAGAACCUAACAAAGUGGAACUCACAGAAGCAGAGAGUAGAAUGGUGGUUGCCUGUUGGAAUGGGGAGAUGGUCAGAGAAUGCAAACUUUCAGUUGGAUGAGAGGAAGAAGUUCCAGAGAUCCAUUGUGCCACAUGGUGACAAUAGUUAAUAACAAUGUACUGGGCGGUGGGGGGUGGCUUACGCCUGUAAUCCCAGCACUUUGGGAAGCUGAGGCAGACAGAUCACUUGAGGUCAGGAGUUCUAGACCAGCUUGUCCAACAUGGUGAAACCCUGUUUCUACUAAAACUACAAAAUUAGCCAGGUGUGGUGGUGUGCGCCUGUAAUCUCAGCUACUUGGGAGGCUGAAUCGCUUGAACCCAGGAGGUGAAGGUUGCAGUGAGUCGAGACUGCGCCACUGCCCUCCAGCCUGGGUGACACAGUGAGACUCUGUUUCAAAAAAACAAAAAAAAGCAAUGUACUGUAUACUUGAAAAUUGCUCACAGGGAUUUUAAAUGUUCUCACCAUUACAAAAUGAUAAAUAUGUGACAUAAUGCAUAUGUUAAUUAGCCCGAUUUAGUGAUUCCACAGUGUAUACAUAUAACAAAACAUGUUGUACACCAUAAAUGUAUACUAUUUUUAUUUGCCAAUUAAAUAUUUUUUUUUAAAGUU